CCUACGGGGGGCAGCAGUGAGGAAUAUUGGUCAAUGGCCGGAAGGCUGAACCAGCCAAGCCGCGUGAAGGACGAAGGUGCCAAGCAUUGUAAACUUCUUUUGUCAAGGGACAAAAUCAGGCUCGAGAGCCUGACCGAGGGUACUUGAAGAAAAAGCAUCGGCUAACUCCGUGCCAGCAGCCGCGGUCAUACGGAGGAUGCGAGCGUUAUCCGGAUUUAUUGGGUUUAAAGGGUGCGUAGGCGGACUGUUAAGUCAGCGGUAAAAGUCCGGGGCUCAACCCCGGCGAGCCGUUGAAACUGGCUGUCUUGAGAUGUCGAGAGGUAUGCGGAAUGCGCAGUGUAGCGGUGAAAUGCAUAGAUAUCACGCAGAACUCCGAUUGCGAAGGCAGCAUACCGGCGCCCAACUGACGCUGAGGCACGAAAGCGUGGGUAUCGAACAGGAUUAGAUACCCCAGUAGUC
This 459-nucleotide ribosomal RNA is filed under the name uncultured bacterium. RNAcentral describes it as "partial 16S ribosomal RNA". It matches the Rfam family "Bacterial small subunit ribosomal RNA", at positions 338 to 795 of the family's 1533-position model. The record is from RNAcentral.